UGUAUUUUUUUAUCUCGACCUUGGUGAACCUUUAAUAAAAAACAAAAACAAAAUAAAAACAACAAAUUUAUAGAGAGAUAAUGUUUAUCUAAAUGAAUGCACACAAUAUCACACAUUAUAUAUUCUCUGAUACAUUGUAAUACUAAUACUAGUACUGGUACACAUAGUUUUUUCAAUUCCAAAGUAGUUUAGGCAUAUUGCCAAUAUUUUCCACACUGUAGUUUUACUUUGCCGUUUUCUUUCAGCCUCGUGGAUCUUCACCUGCUGUUUUUGGCUUCACUGCAGAUAUGUGUCCUGAGCGCCACCUGGAGCAUCAUUUGCCUCCAGCAUCUCUCUUUGACCCUGUCUGUGUUUUUGGACACUUCUUCCUGCUAAUUCGCUACCCAACGCUGCCCUCAUGACCUUCACAGCAUCGACAAACGAAUAUAUGUUCAUCCACACAGCACUGUAAUAAUCCAUGUGUAUUUACUGUACAUUUACUGAGAUGCAUCAUGUACUGUACUUUUCUGUCAAUAAACAGUUUACCAUAUAGAGCCACUGAGGCCCAU
This is a long non-coding RNA of Carassius carassius (crucian carp), 548 nucleotides long. RefSeq lists it as uncharacterized. The record is from RefSeq and is a predicted model, not a curated record. The transcript is spliced from 2 exons. NCBI's taxonomy places the organism in Eukaryota, Metazoa, Chordata, Actinopteri, Cypriniformes, Cyprinidae.